Small nucleolar RNA from Doryrhamphus excisus (bluestripe pipefish), 77 nucleotides. NCBI's taxonomy places the organism in Eukaryota, Metazoa, Chordata, Actinopteri, Syngnathiformes, Syngnathidae. The record is from RefSeq and is a predicted model, not a curated record.
UGGCAAUGAUGUCUGAAUUUCUUCACCUGAAUCGUCCGUGUCGAGCAAAACAUACGAGCUUUUUAACCCUGAGCUUA